This 90-nucleotide transfer RNA is filed under the name Peptococcaceae bacterium. RNAcentral describes it as "tRNA-Ser". It matches the Rfam family "tRNA". Rfam says of the family: Transfer RNA (tRNA) molecules are approximately 80 nucleotides in length. The record is from RNAcentral. Lineage: Bacteria; Bacillati; Bacillota; Clostridia; Eubacteriales; Peptococcaceae. RNAcentral also lists the same sequence under 1 other name.
GGAGAGAUGGCCGAGUGGAUGAAGGCGCACGCCUGGAGAGCGUGUGGACGGGAAACCGUCUCGUGGGUUCGAAUCCCACUCUCUCCGCCA